AUGGUUCAAUCAUAAAAGGUGGCUUUUAGCUACCACUUACAGAUGGACCCGCGGCGCAUUAGCUAGUUGGUGAGGUAACGGCUCACCAAGGCGACGAUGCGUAGCCGACCUGAGAGGGUGAUCGGCCACACUGGGACUGAGACACGGCCCAGACUCCUACGGGAGGCAGCAGUAGGGAAUCUUCCGCAAUGGACGAAAGUCUGACGGAGCAACGCCGCGUGAGUGAUGAAGGUUUUCGGAUCGUAAAACUCUGUUGUUAGGGAAGAACAAGUACCGUUCGAAUAGGGCGGUACCUUGACGGUACCUAACCAGAAAGCCACGGCUAACUACGUGCCAGCAGCCGCGGUAAUACGUAGGUGGCAAGCGUUGUCCGGAAUUAUUGGGCGUAAAGCGCGCGCAGGCGGUUUCUUAAGUCUGAUGUGAAAGCCCCCGGCUCAACCGGGGAGGGUCAUUGGAAACUGGGGAACUUGAGUGCAGAAGAGGAGAGUGGAAUUCCACGUGUAGCGGUGAAAUGCGUAGAGAUGUGGAGGAACACCAGUGGCGAAGGCGACUCUCUGGUCUGUAACUGACGCUGAGGCGCGAAAGCGUGGGGAGCGAACAGGAUUAGAUACCCUGGUAGUCCACGCCGUAAACGAUGAGUGCUAAGUGUUAGAGGGUUUCCGCCCUUUAGUGCUGCAGCAAACGCAUUAAGCACUCCGCCUGGGGAGUACGGUCGCAAGACUGAAACUCAAAGGAAUUGACGGGGGCCCGCACAAGCGGUGGAGCAUGUGGUUUAAUUCGAGCACGCGAAGAACCUUACCAGGUCUUGACAUCCUCUGACAACCCUAGAGAUAGGGCUUCCCCUUCGGGGGCAGAGUGACAGGUGGUGCAUGGUUGUCGUCAGCUCGUGUCGUGAGAUGUUGGGUUAAGUCCCGCAACGAGCGCAACCCUUGAUCUUAGUUGCCAGCAUUCAGUUGGGCACUCUAAGGUGACUGCCGGUGACAAACCGGAGGAAGGUGGGGAUGACGUCAAAUCAUCAUGCCCCUUAUGACCUGGGCUACACACGUGCUACAAUGGGCAGAACAAAGGGCAGCGAAGCCGCGAGGCUAAGCCAAUCCCACAAAUCUGUUCUCAGUUCGGAUCGCAGUCUGCAACUCGACUGCGUGAAGCUGGAAUCGCUAGUAAUCGCGGAUCAGCAUGCCGCGGUGAAUACGUUCCCGGGCCUUGKWCACACC
This 1214-nucleotide ribosomal RNA is filed under the name Bacillus licheniformis. RNAcentral's name for it is "bacterial SSU rRNA". It matches the Rfam family "Bacterial small subunit ribosomal RNA", at positions 189 to 1391 of the family's 1533-position model. Lineage: Bacteria; Bacillati; Bacillota; Bacilli; Caryophanales; Bacillaceae. The record is from RNAcentral.